GGGGUGGAAAAGGGGACUUCGGUACUCUACAUAACGGAAUGAAACGUUGAGUGAACUGAACGCGCCCCGGUUUCUCCCCGUCUGAAUGAGGAAGUCCGGAGGGGUGGGUGCGACACCGUAUAUAUAAUCGCGCGCCUUCUCUUCCUCCCGCUUCACUCCCCGGUCCCUGCGAGCCGCUCAGUUUAUAGGUGUAUAUAUUCAUCAGUGCAGUUGAAUCAUGGCGUGGGAUGGUUAUAUAACCAAUCUGAUGGCGGGAACACCUCCCUUCGUGCAAGAGGCAGCGAUCUGUGGGUCUGAGGCGGGGAAAGAGUCGGUCUGGGCAGCAACACCCGGAGGUCAACUGGCCGGUGUGACAGCUGCGGAGAUCAAGGCGAUGAUGUCAUUGGAUCGUUCUCCUCUCUUCGCCAGUGGUCUUCAUCUCAGCGGGAACAAGUGUACUGUCCUGAGAGAUAAUCUGCACACCGAAGGGGACCACACUUUAGAUGUUAAGAUGAGGCCCACUGCUACUGAUACCAACUCCUACAGCAUCACCAUCGCUAAGAGUGGCCAGACUCUGAUCAUUGUUAAAGGGAUGAAGGACAUUCCUGGAGGGAAGAUCAACAUAAAGGCCUCCGACAUGAUGCAGUACCUGAGGAAGAGUGGCUUCUAACGCUUGACCCUUGACCCCGACACCCCCCUUAGAUGCUGGUCUUGGUUCAGUUUAGCGUUCCCCCACUACUGGUUCGGAUUGGGGGAAGGGAAGCUCAUCUGUGCCUCGUGGAAUGUCAUCCCAGCAGCCUCAGUGCCUUCUUGUUUUUGAUGAUGAUGAUGAUGAUGAUGAUAUGCAAAUGAUCAAACAUGUCAAAUUAUCAUAGUGGCAAAUAAACAGAUUUAUUCUAAGAAAAUAUUUAUUUUGACUGCUGAUUUAAUUAUUUAUUGAGGAGAAUGUAGUUAAAUUACUAAAAUGUUAAUGGUAAGUGUGUGUUUAUCUGUUUAUCUCUGUUUAUCUCUCUCUGUCUCUCUGUUUUAUCUCUCUCUCUGUUUAUAUCUCUCUGUUUAUAUCUCUCUGUUUAUCUCUCUCUGUUUAUCUCUCUCUCUGUUUAUCUCUGUCUCUCUCUCUGUUUAUCUCUCUCUCUGUUUAUCUCUCUCUCUCUCUGUUUAUCUCUCUCUCUCUCUCUCUCUGUUUAUCUCUCUCUCUCUCUCUCUGUUUAUCUCUGUCUCUCUCUCUGUUUAUCUCUCUCUCUGUUUAUCUCUCUCUCUCUCUGUUUAUCUCUCUCUCUGUUUAUCUCUCUCUCUGUUUAUCUCUCUCUCUCUCUCUGUUUAUCUCUCUCUCUCUCUCUCUGUUUAUCUCUCUCUCUCUCUCUCUGUUUAUCUCUCUGUCUCUGUCUUUCGCUAUAUCCAUAUGUAUUACCAGGUCACGCUGCAGUGUUCACCCUGAGGGCUGUUAACCAACUCAACAGUUACAUAUGUACAACUAACUACUUACAGCGCAUUCGGAAAGUAUUCAGACCUCUUGACUUUUCCAGAUUUUGUUACGUUACAGCCUUAUUUUAAAAUGGAUUAAAUCGUUUUCCCCCCCUCAUCUGUCUACACUCAAUACUACACUCAGUCUACACUCCAAUUUUUUUGCGAAUGUAUUAAAUAAAAACGGAAAUAUCACAUUUACAUAAGUAUUCAGGCCCUUUACUCAGUACUUUGUUGAAGCACCUUUGGCAGCGAUUACAGCGUUGAGUCUUCUUGGGUAUGACGCUACAAGCUUGGUACACCUGUAUUUGGGGAGUUUCUCCCAUUCUUCUCUGCAGAUCCUCUCAAGCUCUAUCAGGUUGGAUGGGGAGCGUCGCUGCACAGCUAUUUUCAGUUCUCUCCAGAGAUGUUAGAUCAGGUUCAAGUCCGAGCUCUGGCCGGGCCACUCAAGGACAUUCAGAGACUUGUCCCGAAGCCACUCCUGCGUUGUCUUGGCUGUGUGCUUAGGGUCGUUGUCCUGUUGGGAAGUUGAACCUUCACCCCAGUCUGAGGUCCUGAGUGCUCUGGAGCAGGUUUUCAUCAAGUAUCUCUUUACUUUGCUCUGUUCAUCUUUCCCUCGAUCCUGACUAGUCUCCCAGUCCCUGCAGCUGAAAAACAUCACCACAGCAUGAUGCUGCCACCACCAUGCUUCACCGUAGGGAUGGUGCCAGGUUUCCUCCAGACGUGACGCUUGGCAUUCAGGCCAAAUAGUUCAAUCUUGGUUUCAUCAGACCAGAGAAUCUUGUUUCUCAUGGUCUGAGAGUCCUUUAGGUGCCUUUUGGCAAACUCCAAGUGAGCUGUCAUGUGCCUUUUACUGAGGAGUGGCUUCCGUCUGGCCACUCUACCAUAAAAGCCUGAUUGGUGGAGUGAUGCAGAGAUGGUUGUCCUUCUGGAAGGUUCUCCCAUCUCCACAGAGGAACUCUGGAGCUCUGUCAGAGUGACCAUAUCGGGUUCUUGGUCACCUCCCUGACCAAGGCCCUUCUCCACCGAUUGGUCAGUUUGGCCGGGCGGCCAGCUCUAGGAAGAGUCUUGGUGGUUCCAAACUUCUUCCAUUUAAGAAUGAUGGAGGACAAUAUGUUCUUGGGGACCUUCAAUGCUGCAGAAAUGUUUUGGUACCCUUCCCCAGAUCUGUGCCUCGACACAAUCCUGUCUCGGAGCUCUAUGGACAAUUCCUUCGACAUCAUUGCCUGGUUUUUUGCUCUGACAUGCACUGUCAACUGUGGGACCUUAUAUAGACAGGUGUGUGCUUUUCCAAAUCAUGUCCAAUCAAUUGAAUUUACCACAGGUGGACUCCAAUCAAGUUGUAGAAACAUCUGAAGGAUGAUCAAUGGAAACAGGAUGCACCUGAGCUCAAUUUCGAGUCUCAUAGCAAAGGGUCUGAAUACUUAUGUAAAUAAAGUACUUAUGUUUUUGUUUUUAAUACAUUUGCAAACAUUUAUAAAAACCUGUUUUUGCUUUGUCAUUAUGGGGUAUUGUGAUGUCAUUAUGUUGUAUUGUUUGUAGAUUGGUGAGGAAAAACAUUAACUUAAUCCAUGUUAGAAUAAGGCUGUAACGUAACACUCUCUCUGUCUGUACCCAUUCACACUCUCUCUGUCUGUACCCAUUCACACUCUCUCUGUCUGUACCCAUUCACACUCUCUCUGUCUGUACCCAUUCACACUCUCUCUGUCUGUACCCAUUCACACUCUCUCUGUCUGUAACUAACUACGUAUAUCUAAACUCAGCAACAAAAUAAACGUCCUCUCACUGUCAACUGUGUUUAUUUUCAUCAAACUGAAC
RNAcentral lists this long non-coding RNA (3261 nucleotides) under Salmo salar (Atlantic salmon). Its description in RNAcentral is "lncRNA (ENSSSAG00000086102.1)". The record is from RNAcentral. Lineage: Eukaryota; Metazoa; Chordata; Actinopteri; Salmoniformes; Salmonidae.